GCACGGGUGCGUAACGCGUAUACAAUCUGCCUUGUACAGGGGAAUAACCUUUAGAAAUGAAGAAUAAUACCCCAUAGUAUGGUGACUCGGCAUCGAGCUAUCAUUAAAGUUUCGGCGGUACAAGAUGAGUAUGCGUCCUAUUAGCUAGUAGGUAUGGUAACGGCAUACCUAGGCAACGAUAGGUAGGGGCCCUGAGAGGGGGAUCCCCCACACUGGUACUGAGACACGGACCAGACUCCUACGGGAGGCAGCAGUGAGGAAUAUUGGACAAUGGGCGCAAGCCUGAUCCAGCCAUGCCGCGUGCAGGAAGACUGCCCUAUGGGUUGUAAACUGCUUUUGUACGAGAAGAAACCUUCCUACGUGUAGGAAGCUGACGGUAUCGUAAGAAUAAGGAUCGGCUAACUCCGUGCCAGCAGCCGCGGUAAUACGGAGGAUCCAAGCGUUAUCCGGAAUCAUUGGGUUUAAAGGGUCCGUAGGUGGAUUAAUAAGUCA
This 492-nucleotide ribosomal RNA is filed under the name uncultured bacterium. RNAcentral's name for it is "bacterial SSU rRNA". It matches the Rfam family "Bacterial small subunit ribosomal RNA", at positions 100 to 590 of the family's 1533-position model. The record is from RNAcentral.